Molecule: unclassified non-coding RNA, 253 nt
Filed under: Alphaproteobacteria bacterium
Lineage: Bacteria; Pseudomonadati; Pseudomonadota; Alphaproteobacteria
Description: contains 16S-23S intergenic spacer region
Rfam family: Bacterial small subunit ribosomal RNA
Source: RNAcentral
UACGAAGGGGGCAAGCGUUGUUCGGAAUCACUGGGCGUAAAGCGUACGCAGGCGGAUCUGCCAGUCAGGGGUGAAAUCCCGGGGCUCAACCCCGGAAUUGCCUCUGAUACUGUAGAUCUAGAGUCCGUGAGAGGAGUGUGGAAUUCCUAGUGUAGAGGUGAAAUUCGUAGAUAUUAGGAGGAACACCAGUGGCGAAGGCGACACUCUGGCGCGGUACUGACGCUCAUGUACGAAAGUGUGGGGAGCAAACAGG